CAAAAAAGCGGAGGAAAAGAAACUAACAAGGAUUCCCCUAGUAACGGCGAGUGAAGCGGGAAGAGCUCAAAUUUGUAAUCUGGCACCUUCGGUGUCCGAGUUGUAAUCUCGAGAAGUGUUUUCCGCGCCGGACCGCAUACAAGUCUGUUGGAAUACAGCGUCAUAGUGGUGAGAACCCCGUAACUGAUGCGGAUGCCCGGUGCUUUGUGAUACACUUUCGAAGAGUCGAGUUGUUUGGGAAUGCAGCUCAAAUUGGGUGGUAAAUUCCAUCUAAAGCUAAAUAUUGGCGAGAGACCGAUAGCGAACAAGUACCGUGAGGGAAAGAUGAAAAGCACUUUGGAAAGAGAGUUAACAGUACGUGAAAUUGUUGGAAGGGAAACGCUUGAAGUCAGACUUGCUAUUUGGAAUUCAGCCGCAAGGUGUACUUUUCAAUUCGCAGGCCAGCAUCAGUUUUCGGGGGUGGAAAAGGGUAGAGAGAAGGUAGCAAUUUCGGUUGUGUUAUAGCUCUUUGCUGGAUUCAUCCUUGGGGACUGAGGAACGCAGCACGCUUUUUGCAAGGCUUUCGGGCUUUUCGUGCUUAGGAUGCUGGUGGAAUGGCUUUAAACGACCCGUCUUGAAACCACGGGACCA
Molecule: ribosomal RNA, 630 nt
Filed under: Phenoliferia psychrophenolica
Lineage: Eukaryota; Fungi; Basidiomycota; Microbotryomycetes; Kriegeriales; Kriegeriaceae
Description: partial large subunit ribosomal RNA
Rfam family: Eukaryotic large subunit ribosomal RNA
Source: RNAcentral